UGGCGCUCGGUGGGGCGUGAGAAACCGGAGAGGGUCGCGCAUAUCUAAUAAGCGGAGGAAAAAGAAACCAACAGGGAUUACCUCAGUAACGGCGAGUGAAGCGGUAACAGCUCAAAUUUGAAAGCCGGCCCUCUCGGGGUCCGCGUUGUAAUUUGCAGAAGAUGCUUCGGGUGGGGCCCCGGUCUAAGUUCCUUGGAACAGGACGUCACAGAGGGUGAGAAUCCCGUACGUGACUGGGCGCCCCCGCCCGUGUGAAGCUCUUUCGACGAGUCGAGUUGUUUGGGAAUGCAGCUCUAAAUGGGUGGUAAAUUUCAUCUAAAGCUAAAUAUUGGCCAGAGACCGAUAGCGCACAAGUAGAGUGAUCGAAAGAUGAAAAGCACUUUGGAAAGAGAGUUAAACAGUACGUGAAAUUGUUGAAAGGGAAGCGCUUGCAACCAGACUUGCGCGCUGGCGAUCAUCCGGGCUUCUGCCCGGUGCACUCGCCAGCGCUCAGGCCAGCAUCGGUUCCCGUGGUGGGAUAAAGGCCCUGGGAACGUAGCUCCUCUCGGGGAGUGUUAUAGCCCAGGGUGCAAUGCCGCCCACGGGGACCGAGGACCGCGCUUCGGCUAGGAUGCUGGCGUAAUGGUUGUAAGCGACCCGUCUUGAAACACGGACCAAGGAGUCUAACAUCUAUGCGAGUGUUUGGGUGCCAAACCCAUACGCGCAAUGAAAGUGAACGGAGGUGAGAACCCUGAAGGGCGCAUCAUCGACCGAUCCUGAUGUCUUCGGAUGGAUUUGAGUAAGAGCAUAGCUGUUGGGACCCGAAAGAUGGUGAACUAUGCGUGAAUAGGGUGAAGCCAGAGGAAACUCUGGUGGAGGCUCGCAGCGGUUCUGACGUGCAAAUCGAUCGUCAAAUUUGCGUAUAGGGGCGAAAGACUAAAUCGAACCAUCUAGUAGCUGGUUCCCUGCCGAAAGUUU
RNAcentral lists this ribosomal RNA (957 nucleotides) under Pseudopeziza medicaginis. Its description in RNAcentral is "LSU rRNA". It matches the Rfam family "Eukaryotic large subunit ribosomal RNA", at positions 1 to 970 of the family's 3401-position model. Lineage: Eukaryota; Fungi; Ascomycota; Leotiomycetes; Helotiales; Drepanopezizaceae. The record is from RNAcentral.